Molecule: ribosomal RNA, 497 nt
Filed under: uncultured Glomeromycotina
Lineage: Eukaryota; Fungi; Glomeromycota
Description: partial small subunit ribosomal RNA
Rfam family: Eukaryotic small subunit ribosomal RNA
Source: RNAcentral
CCAAUAGCGUUUAUUAAAGUUGUUGCAGUUAAAAAGCUCGUAGUUGAAUUUUAGUCCUGGCCGGGCGGUCCGUCUUUGGCGAGUACUGUCCUGUGUCGGGUCUUCCUUCUGGUGAACCAGUAUGUCCUUUAUUGGGUGUGCCGGGGAGCCAGGACCAUUACCUUGAAAAAAUUAGAGUGUCUAAAGCGGGCAUUUGCUUGGAUAGAUUAGCAUGGAAUAAUAGAAUAGGACGUUGUGGUUCUAUUUUGUUGGUUUCUAGGACCACCGUAAUGAUUAAUAGGGAUAGGUGGGGGCAUUAGUAUUCAAUUGUCAGAGGUGAAAUUCUUGGAUUUAUUGAAGACUAACUACUGCGAAAGCAUUUGCCAAGGAUGUUUUCAUUAAUCAAGAACGAAAGUUAGGGGAUCGAAGACGAUCAGAUACCGUCGUAGUCUUAACCAUAAACUAUGCCGACUAGGAAUCGGGCGACGUUAUUUUCAUGACUCGCUCGGCGCCUUAUG